Lotus japonicus is the source of this 526-nucleotide long non-coding RNA. RefSeq lists it as uncharacterized. NCBI's taxonomy places the organism in Eukaryota, Viridiplantae, Streptophyta, Magnoliopsida, Fabales, Fabaceae. The record is from RefSeq and is a predicted model, not a curated record. The transcript is spliced from 3 exons.
CAACCAUUGGGCAUUGAGCAUUUCAUGCUGAGUUCAUCCAAACAACAAACGGGCGAUCAAUUCCAUGAAGGGGAACGAACGUUACUUUGGCCUUGAGAAUUUGGGCAACAUGCACUUGUUAUUGCAACAGUGUCUUGCAUGCAGGCACUAUACUUCUGUGUUCCAUUUCGGGAACAACUGCUGAAGUAUCAUGGAAAUAACAAAAGCAUAGGGGGUCUGGAAGAAAAUCUUUUGUCUUGCAUAGCUGACUUAUUUUCACAAUGCCUCGGGAAGAGGGUUGGGUGAAGCUUAAUGCUGAUGGAACCUCCUAUUCCUCUGCUGAUAUUGCUGGUUGUGGGGGUGUGGUCGAGUACCACUUUGGUGCCUUCAUGGUGGCUUUCUCAAAGAGGAUUCGAACGUAUUCUGCGCUACACACAGAGCUGUGGGGUUUACUACAUGGAACUCGUCUUUUAAUUUAGAGGGAUAUUAGUCGUGUUGUAAUGGAGUUAAUCUUAUGAUUUAGACUCAUCUUAUGAUAUACAUAAUG